Molecule: ribosomal RNA, 443 nt
Filed under: uncultured bacterium
Lineage: Bacteria
Description: partial 16S ribosomal RNA
Rfam family: Bacterial small subunit ribosomal RNA
Source: RNAcentral
CCUACGGGUGGCAGCAGUGGGGAAUAUUGGGCAAUGGGCGCAAGCCUGACCCAGCAACGCCGCGUGAAGGAAGAAGGCUUUCGGGUUGUAAACUUCUUUUCUCAGGGACGAAGCAAGUGACGGUACCUGAGGAAUAAGCCACGGCUAACUACGUGCCAGCAGCCGCGGUAAUACGUAGGUGGCAAGCGUUAUCCGGAUUUACUGGGUGUAAAGGGCGUGUAGGCGGGAAAGCAAGUCAGAUGUGAAAACCAUGGGCUCAACCUGUGGCCUGCAUUUGAAACUGUUUUUCUUGAGUACUGGAGAGGCAGACGGAAUUCCUAGUGUAGCGGUGAAAUGCGUAGAGAUUAGGAGGAACACCAGUGGCGAAGGCGGUCUGCUGGACAGCAACUGACGCUGAGGCGCGAAAGCGUGGGGAGCAAACAGGAGUAGAUACCCGUGUAGUC